UCCCUGGUGGUCCAGUGGCUAAGGCACUGUGUUCCCAAUUCAGGGGGUCCAGGUUCGAUCCCUGGUCAGGGAA
This 73-nucleotide transfer RNA is filed under the name Bos taurus (domestic cattle). It matches the Rfam family "tRNA". Rfam says of the family: Transfer RNA (tRNA) molecules are approximately 80 nucleotides in length. Their secondary structure includes four short double-helical elements and three loops (D, anti-codon, and T loops). The record is from Rfam by way of RNAcentral. RNAcentral also lists the same sequence under 5 other names. Lineage: Eukaryota; Metazoa; Chordata; Mammalia; Artiodactyla; Bovidae.